CAGAUAGUAGCAAUACUAUGCUGCUAAGUGGCGCACGGGUGAGUAAUAUAUAGGUAACAUGCCCUUAAGAGGGGGAUAACAGAGGGAAACCUUUGCUAAUACCCCAUAACCCUUCUUGUCAUAAGAUGAGUUGGCAAAGUUUUUUCGCUUAAGGAUUGGCCUGUAUUGUAUCAGCUCGUUGGUGAGGUAACGGCUCACCAAGGCUAUGACGCAUAACUGGUCUGAGAGGAUGAUCAGUCACACUGGAACUGAGACACGGUCCAGACUCCUACGGGAGGCAGCAGUGGGGAAUAUUGCACAAUGGGGGAAACCCUGAUGCAGCAACGCCGCGUGGAGGAUGACACUUUUCGGAGCGUAAACUCCUUUUCUGUUAGAAGAUAAUGACGGUAUAACAGGAAUAAGCACCGGCUAACUCCGUGCCAGCAGCCGCGGUAAUACGGAGGGUGCAAGCGUUACUCGGAAUCACUGGGCGUAAAGAGCGUGUAGGCUGUUUAGCAAGUCAGAAGUGAAAUCCUAUAGCUCAACUAUAGAACUGCUUUUGAAACUGCUUAACUAGAGUGUGGGAGAGGCAGAUGGAAUUUCUGGUGUAGGGGUAAAAUCCGUAGAUAUCAGAAGGAAUACCGAUUGCGAAGGCGAUCUGCUGGAACAUUACUGACGCUGAGACGCGAAAGCGU
This 674-nucleotide ribosomal RNA is filed under the name uncultured bacterium. RNAcentral describes it as "bacterial SSU rRNA". It matches the Rfam family "Bacterial small subunit ribosomal RNA", at positions 70 to 762 of the family's 1533-position model. The record is from RNAcentral.